This 253-nucleotide ribosomal RNA is filed under the name uncultured bacterium. RNAcentral describes it as "partial 16S ribosomal RNA". It matches the Rfam family "Bacterial small subunit ribosomal RNA", at positions 524 to 776 of the family's 1533-position model. The record is from RNAcentral.
UACGAAGGGGGCUAGCGUUGUUCGGAAUUACUGGGCGUAAAGGGCGCGUAGGCGGUACUUCAAGUCAGGCGUGAAAGCCCCGGGCUCAACCUGGGAACCGCGCUUGAGACUGGAGAACUAGAGUUCGGGAGAGGAUGGUGGAAUUCCCAGUGUAGAGGUGAAAUUCGUAGAUAUUGGGAAGAACACCCGUGGCGAAGGCGGCUCUCUGGAACGCAACUGACGCUGAGACGCGAAAGCGUGGGGAGCAAACAGG